GACGAACGCUGGCGGCGUGCUUAACACAUGCAAGUCGAACGGAAAGGCUCCAGCUUGCUGGAGUACUCGAGUGGCGAACGGGUGAGUAACACGUGGGUAAUCUGCCCUGCACUCUGGGAUAAGCCUGGGAAACUGGGUCUAAUACUGGAUAUGACCUUUCUCCUUAUGGGGUUUGGUGGAAAGUUUUUCGGUGUAGGAUGAGGCCGCGGCCUAUCAGCUUGUUGGUGGGGUGAUGGCCUACCAAGGCGACGACGGGUAGCCGGCCUGAGAGGGUGAUCGGCCACAUUGGGACUGAGAUACAGCCCAGACUCCUACGGGAGGCAGCAGUGGGGAAUAUUGCACAAUGGGCGGAAGCCUGAUGCAGCGACGCCGCGUGAGGGAUGACGGCCUUCGGGUUGUAAACCUCUUUCAGCAGGGACGAAGCGUAAGUGACGGUACCUGCAGAAGAAGCACCGGCUAACUAUGUG
This 467-nucleotide ribosomal RNA is filed under the name uncultured bacterium. RNAcentral's name for it is "partial 16S ribosomal RNA". It matches the Rfam family "Bacterial small subunit ribosomal RNA", at positions 28 to 507 of the family's 1533-position model. The record is from RNAcentral.